CUUCCUUUCCGGUCUUCCAACAAUAUGGAUUGAUUUUUAAAGAAAAAUUCACGUCAUUGGGGAUUUCGAAAACACAAACAGUCACGAUUAUUAAUACCUGCAUAGCAUUUAAUACAGGCGCGGGAUUAUUGAACGGUCCUGUAUUCAAGAGAUUCACAAC
Molecule: long non-coding RNA, 160 nt
Organism: Leptinotarsa decemlineata (Colorado potato beetle)
Lineage: Eukaryota; Metazoa; Arthropoda; Insecta; Coleoptera; Chrysomelidae
Source: RefSeq, a predicted model, not a curated record